Molecule: ribosomal RNA, 425 nt
Filed under: uncultured bacterium
Lineage: Bacteria
Description: bacterial SSU rRNA
Rfam family: Bacterial small subunit ribosomal RNA
Source: RNAcentral
GGAAUUGUUCGCAAUGGGCGCAAGCCUGACGACGCAACGCCGCGUGGAGGAUGAAGAUUUUCGGAUCGUAAACUCCUGUCGAAUGGGACGAAUAGAUUGCGGGUGAACAGCCCGUGGUCCUGACGGUACCGUUAAAGGAAACCCCGGCUAACUCCGUGCCAGCAGCCGCGGUAAUACGGGGGGGGGUAAGCGUUGUUCGGAAUUACUGGGCGUAAAGCGUGCGCAGGCGGUUAUUUAAGCCAGACGUGAAAGCCCCGGGCUUAACCUGGGAAUGGCGUUUGGGACUGGAUAGCUAGAGUACGGCAGAGGGAGGUGGAAUUCCACGUGUAGCAGUGAAAUGCGUAGAGAUGUGGAGGAACACCGAUGGCGAAGGCAGCCUCCUGGGCCAGUACUGACGCUCAUGCACGAAAGCGUGGGGAGCAAAC